Molecule: ribosomal RNA, 570 nt
Filed under: Theileria ovis
Lineage: Eukaryota; Apicomplexa; Aconoidasida; Piroplasmida; Theileriidae
Description: SSU rRNA
Rfam family: Eukaryotic small subunit ribosomal RNA
Source: RNAcentral
UGUCUUGUAAAUGGAAUGAUGGGAAUUUAAACCUCUUCCAGAGUAUCAAUUGGAGGGCAAGUCUGGUGCCAGCAGCCGCGGUAAUUCCAGCUCCAAUAGCGUAUAUUAAAAUUGUUGCAGUUAAAAAGCUCGUAGUUGAAUUUCUGCUGCAUUGCUUUUGCUCCUUUACGAGUCUUUGCAUUGUGGCUUAUUUCGGACUUUGUUUUACAAUGUCCGGAUGUUUACUUUGAGAAAAUUAGAGUGCUCAAAGCAGGCUUUCGCCUUGAAUAGUUUAGCAUGGAAUAAUAAAGUAGGACUUUGGUUCUAUUUUGUUGGUUUUAGGUACCAAAGUAAUGGUUAAUAGGAACAGUUGGGGGCAUUCGUAUUUAACUGUCAGAGGUGAAAUUCUUAGAUUUGUUAAAGACGAACUACUGCGAAAGCAUUUGCCAAGGAUGUUUUCAUUAAUCAAGAACGAAAGUUAGGGGAUCGAAGACGAUCAGAUACCGUCGUAGUCCUAACCAUAAACUACGCCGACUAGAGAUUGGAGGUCGUCAGUUUUUACGACUCCUUCAGCACCUUGAGAGAAAUCAA